CCUAGCCGCACACUCUAAAACAUACUACUCUCCAUCUCUAGUUUUCUCUUUCUCACUUCCUCUCCAUCUUUAAGUUUCUUUCUUUUGGUCUUAGAGAUAAAAGAAAAAUCAAACGAAGAUUAAAACACGUCAAUUUGAUAGCGGUUGUUUUGAUCUCCAUAGCUCCUCUAUGAUCGUUCUUGUUAGCACGAGAAGAUCAAAUCCUCUUAAUGGGAGCCUGGAUGUCUUUGGAGGAUCUCAACGUUGGGAUCUCAGAUCAAGAGACGGAGGAAUCAACACAAGAAGUCGAUCAAAGAAAAACUAUGAGGGUUGGAUAAUAUAGUUGGAAAAGCAAAGUCAAAAUCAACGGAAAGCAACACAAGCUCAUUUUUUUUUGGCUAUGAAAGUGACACUUGGACAAUACAUAGUGCAAAAAGAUAUGUAUUCCUACCUUUUGACCGAAUACUUUUUCGCAAAAUAUGGAUUGAAUGUCUGGAACAGUGGAUUCUUUCACUAUUGGUCCUUACACCCCAACUCCAUUUGACUGCAAAUUGGUUCUUGGGUUUCAGACUAAUGAACUUUAUAGGUUUUGUUAUCUUCAUCUUUUGUGAAACAUUUGAUAGGUGUCUGCAAAGUAUGAUAAAGGGUGUUGGAUUAUGUGCCUUUUGAUUCCCACACCCUUUAAUAUAAUAAUUUUUGUCUUUAUAUUUAAAAUCUGUAUGUUUUGGUGUGGGGUUUUUGUCUCUUUAUGUUUUUGUCCUCAUUUGUAUGGGCUGCUGACUUUUCGGUUUGUACAUUAAUUGUAGAAAUGAUGAUGACUGAUUAUGCUUAUUUUGAUGUAUGGGUUGAUAGUUUAAUUGAAUGAGUGUCUAUAAUUAAGUAUUUAGGUUUGAUUACAAUGUGGUAUGAAUAAGGAGAGAUUGUAUUAUAGGUAUUUUCUAGAAAUGUACUAAGGCAGGGGUAAGAGGGCUAAAUGUAGUUGUUGAAUGAGAUUGAGGGUAUUAGAUAACUAUUGAGGGAUUAUAAGGGGUUGAAUGUAAUUCCCAUAUACUUUGAAGACUGGGCCCACUGUUAGUUGUUAAUACUUAGGGUAGUAUCAUUUUUGUAGAAGACAAAUUCCCUCACACCCUUUUCAUGGUGAAUUUGAGCCCUUCAUCCCGGAGGCUAAAGUUAAUGAAUCUAUAAACGCCCCAAUUCUUGAUUAAGAUAUAAAUGCCCCAAUUCUUAAUGAAGCCAAAAAUGCCCCUAACGUUGACUUUUCUACUUUUGGACCUGCAAAUAACACAAACUCCCUACACACUUCAGAACCUAUAUACAAUCCUGAUAAUACUUCACCAUUGUUUGAGGGUGUAGAGACUAACAUCAGUGAAGAUGUUGAUGAAAAAUAGGUUGGUAAGGAAGUGGCGAGGGGGAACGGGGAGUUGAUGAGGUUAAGGUGGAAUAGGCUGGUGAUGAAGAAAGGGGUCAGGGGGAAGUGGUGAUGGCGAGAAGAAUGAGAAUUGGUCCAUGGCAACAACUUCCACACUAAAGUGCACAACGUAGGGAAGUCCACUAUGAACUGUGGGGUGUGUGUCAAAAGCUCAUCAUGUAUGGACACGGACUGCAAGUUCUACGGAAUUCUCGAAAAGAUAAUUCAGUUGGAUUACCCACUUAUUCCAAACAUGCAGAUCGUUUUAUUUAGAUGCCGCUGGGUUGAUCGUGUGAGAGGUAUGAAGGUACAUCCUCGUUAUCACCUCGUUGAUGUAAACUUCAAGAAAUUAUACCAAAAGAACGAACCAUUCACCCUAGCACAACAAGCAGUACAAGUCUACUACACGGAGUAUCCUAGCUUGAACAGAUACAAAUGGACUGGACGACUGUCUGCAAAACAAGAGCAAGAAAAGUCAUCGAUGACUCACGGUGGACCAAGUUGUGUUUCAAGAGGAUGAGGCAAUACCUACUCCACAAGUUGCAAUGGACAACCAUAAUUAUAACUUGCAUAACUCAAAUGGUAUUCAGUUAGUCAUUGAUCUUUCUGUUGCUACUCAACAAGGAGUAGGUGCAUCCCCGAUCAUUGGCCUACGAGACUGAUGACGACUUUGACGAAGAUAGCUUUGAUGAGGAAUACAAGAUUGAAGAAUACAAUAAUUAUGAUUGGCAUUAGUUAGUGUUCAUGUAUAUAUUUUUAAACUUAUCGAAGUACAAUUUUCAAACUUUUUUUUUUAAAACAAAACACAAUAUUUUUCUAUUUAGAAACGGUUUGAAGUUUGAAAACCGUUCUUAAGUAAGAUAUUAUCUACUUAGGAACGGUCGAAAUUUCCAAACCCAUUCCUAAACCGGCUCCUAAAUAUGG
Non-coding RNA from Sesamum indicum (sesame), 2311 nucleotides. Lineage: Eukaryota; Viridiplantae; Streptophyta; Magnoliopsida; Lamiales; Pedaliaceae. The record is from RefSeq and is a predicted model, not a curated record.